UGGAGAGUUUGAUCCUGGCUCAGGACGAACGCUGACGGCGUGGAUUAGGCAUGCAAGUCGAACGAGAAAUUCCCCGCUUGCGGGGGAAAGUACAGUGGCGAACGGGUGAGUAACGCGUAGGUAUCUGCCUCAUAGACUGGGAUAGCCCCGGGAAACCGGGGGUAAUACUGGAUAUGUUUUUCGAAACAAAGGUGGCCUCUGUUUACAAGCUGCCGCUAUGAGAUGAGCCUGCGUCAUAUUAGCUUGUUGGUAGGGUAAUGGCUUACCAAGGCGAUGAUGUGUAGCCGACCUUAACGGGUGACCGGCCACACUGGGAUUGAGAUACGGCCCAGACUCCUACGGGAGGCAGCAGUCGAGAAUAGUCUACAAUGGGGGAAACCCUGAUAGUGCGACGCCGUGUGUGCGACUAAUUCCUUCGGGAUGUAAAGCACUUUUCUAUGAGAUAAAAGCUCUUUAGGUUAAUAGCUUAUUGAGACGGAUAUUAUUAUAGGAAUAAGCUCCGGCUAACUCCGUGCCAGCAGCCGCGGUAAUACGGAAGGAGCGAGCGUUGUCCGGAUUUACUAGGCGUAAAGGGCUAGUAGGCGACUAAUUAAGUUAUAUGUUAAAUCCCACGGCUCAACUGUGGUCCUGCAUGUAAUACUGGUUAGAUAGAGUACUGUAGAGGAAGGCAGAAUUCCUGGAGUAGCGGUGGAAUGCGCAGAUAUCAGGAAGAAUACCAAAAGCGAAGGCAGCCUUCUGGGCAGUUACUGACGCUAAAUAGCGAAGGUGUGGGUAGCAAACAGGAUUAGAUACCCUGGUAGUCCACACAGUAAACGAUGAUCACUAGAUGUUGGUGAGUAAAAAAAAUCAUCAGUGUCGAAGUUAACGCAUUAAGUGAUCCGCCUGGGGAGUACGGUCGCAAGAUUGAAACUCAAAGGAAUUGACGGGACCCCGCACAAGCGGUGGAGCAUGUUGUUCAAUUCGAUGCAACGCGAAGAACCUUACCUGGGCUUGACUUCCCGAGAAGACCUGUGAAAGCAGGUUGUGCCCCUUCGGGGGAACUCGGUGACAGGUGCUGCAUGGCUGUCGUCAGCUCGUGUCGUGAGAUGUUGGGUUAAGUCC
Molecule: ribosomal RNA, 1101 nt
Filed under: Candidatus Cloacimonadota bacterium
Lineage: Bacteria; Pseudomonadati; Candidatus Cloacimonadota
Description: bacterial SSU rRNA
Rfam family: Bacterial small subunit ribosomal RNA
Source: RNAcentral